CCAAGGCUGAGAACUACUGGCCACUGGCCCUGCCCACUGCCCACAUUGUGACCUGCUUGGACCACACCCUUGUCUUAGAGUCACAAACCUACUGGCUGCUCUAUGUGUGCUAACACCAGGCUACCCAUCCUUCCGGCAGUUUCCAUGGAGCCCCCACCCGUUACCCCCUCCACCAGUGCCUAUCCUUUCCAUGGCUUCCAUGGCCUUUUUUUCCUGUACCCUUCACCCCCAUGUUUCCAAAGAUUUUAUCCCAAGCCACACCGCUGCCAGAGUUGUUGGCAGGCCCUGUGUUAAUUAAGCCCUGACUGUUUUCAUCUUGUUCAAUCCUGCCAAAGACCUUCUGAGGAUAGCAAGCAGGACCUACUUCCUGGAGCAAGAUAGAAGCCACGGUCUCUCUGCUGGCGGAUGUGAUUUUGAAAGUGCAAAAGGGCAGGAGGAGCAUCUGGGUCCCUGCCUUCAGGGGAGGGCCUCCUUCUAGAGCCCUGUCUGGGAUGCUGGGAAGCUGCAGACGGCAAAUCCAGGGUCAAGGACUUGUGAGGAUCCAGCUCCCCAGGAAGUCAGCCCUGUCCUUCCACAAGCCCUCACCUCCUCUCUGCAUCCCUAAUUGGCGUCUUCUGGUGACUUCAUUUUUCACUCUUGGCUAAAA
Suricata suricatta (meerkat) is the source of this 646-nucleotide long non-coding RNA. RefSeq lists it as uncharacterized. The record is from RefSeq and is a predicted model, not a curated record. Lineage: Eukaryota; Metazoa; Chordata; Mammalia; Carnivora; Herpestidae. The transcript has 3 exons.